AGAGUUUGAUCAUGGCUCAGAUUGAACGCUGGCGGCAGGCCUAACACAUGCAAGUCGAGCGGAUGAGGGGUGCUUGCACCCCGAUUCAGCGGCGGACGGGUGAGUAAUGCCUAGGAAUCUGCCCGAUAGUGGGGGACAACGUUUCGAAAGGAACGCUAAUACCGCAUACGUCCUACGGGAGAAAGUGGGGGCUCUUCGGACCUCACGCUAUCGGAUGAGCCUAGGUCGGAUUAGCUAGUUGGUGGGGUAAAGGCCCACCAAGGCGACGAUCCGUAACUGGUCUGAGAGGAUGAUCAGUCACACUGGAACUGAGACACGGUCCAGACUCCUACGGGAGGCAGCAGUGGGGAAUAUUGGACAAUGGGCGAAAGCCUGAUCCAGCCAUGCCGCGUGUGUGAAGAAGGUCUUCGGAUUGUAAAGCACUUUAAGUCGGGAGGAAGGGCUGUAGGUUAAUACCCUGCGGUUUUGACGUUACCGACAGAAUAAGCACCGGCUAACUUCGUGCCAGCAGCCGCGGUAAUACGAAGGGUGCAAGCGUUAAUCGGAAUUACUGGGCGUAAAGCGCGCGUAGGUGGUUUGGUAAGUUGGAUGUGAAAGCCCCGGGCUCAACCUGGGAACUGCAUCCAAAACUGCCUGACUAGAGUACGGUAGAGGGUGGUGGAAUUUCCUGUGUAGCGGUGAAAUGCGUAGAUAUAGGAAGGAACACCAGUGGCGAAGGCGACCACCUGGACUGAUACUGACACUGAGGUGCGAAAGCGUGGGGAGCAAACAGGAUUAGAUACCCUGGUAGUCCACGCCGUAAACGAUGUCGACUAGCCGUUGGGCUCCUUGAGAGCUUAGUGGCGCAGCUAACGCAUUAAGUCGACCGCCUGGGGAGUACGGCCGCAAGGUUAAAACUCAAAUGAAUUGACGG
This 913-nucleotide ribosomal RNA is filed under the name uncultured bacterium. RNAcentral describes it as "bacterial SSU rRNA". It matches the Rfam family "Bacterial small subunit ribosomal RNA", at positions 8 to 916 of the family's 1533-position model. The record is from RNAcentral.